RNAcentral lists this ribosomal RNA (388 nucleotides) under uncultured delta proteobacterium. Its description in RNAcentral is "bacterial SSU rRNA". It matches the Rfam family "Bacterial small subunit ribosomal RNA", at positions 158 to 523 of the family's 1533-position model. Lineage: Bacteria; Deltaproteobacteria. The record is from RNAcentral.
ACGGGCUAAUACCGAAUGAGACCACAGUUUCCUCGGAAGCAGAGGUCAAAGAUAGCCUCUAUUUAUACGCUAUCACUUAGAGAUGGGCCUGCGCACCAUUAGCUAGUUGGUAGGGUAACGGCCUACCAAGGCAAAGAUGGUUAGCUGGUCUGAGAGGAUGAUCAGCCACACUGGAACUGAGACACGGUCCAGACUCCUACGGGAGGCAGCAGUGGGGAAUAUUGCGCAAUGGCGAAAGCCUGACGCAGCAACGCCGCGUGAGUGAUGAAGGCCUUCGGGUCGUAAAGCUCUGUCGGAGGGAACGAAUGUUUUUGAGGUUAACAGCCUCAGAAAGUGACGGUACCCUCAAAGGAAGCACCGGCUAACUCUGUGCCAGCAGCCGCGGUAA